AAUGCUAGGACCCUUAGGAGCAGCGGGAUCACCUCCGUUUAGCGCCGUGCAUGUAGCAGCAGGAUGUGUAGGGGCUGCAGGAACAUCACUAGCGGCGGAGAAUGAAGCUGGAGCCGAGCCCGCGGCACCGCUCUCUCUUGCGGCUGCGCAGUCGGCAGUGUCGCUCCUCACUGUGCCUGCUACUGCGCAUGUGUCAACUGGACCGACACUGCUGGGAGCCUCCGCGUCCCUAGAUGGCGCUGCAUCGCUGGCGCCUGAAGCCACCAUGCAACCCGGAAGAAAGCCACUGUGGAUCGCUGCCAUGGCAACAGACGCUGUUUUCGGAAAAAAAAAAAAAAAUAAAAAGCAGAACCAGGAUUACUCAAACCAGAGUCCGGCGUGCGGGUGCUGAGGCCGCGCUCCAGGGCUGGGGGCUGCGCGCUGGGGCUGCCGCUGCGCCGGCUCGGCCGUGGGGGAGGCGGCGCUGGCAGCCACGGCAAAAGGCGGCAGGGGCACCUCGGCGGCAGAGGCACCUCAGCGACAGAGGCAACGCCGACAGCUACUUCUGCAGAGCCAGCCAGACUUCUGCGGGCAUCCCCGGGAGCUGCACGGCGCACGGAGCAGCCCGGGGAACAGCAGCUCGGCGGUGACUGGCUUGCGGGGGAGUUGCCCCGCAGAAUCCAGGCAUGUCGGUAACUGAGAACAGAAAGCAGAAUCUCUCUCUCUUUAGUCCUUCUACUCACUUGUGGAUAACUUAAAACUAAAAGAUUGUGUUUUACUAAAAGUUAGCAUGCAAGAAAUUUUAAGAGUUUCCCAGAGAAUGAAUCUUUAUAUAAAAGCUUUAGUGAGUUGCCUUGGUUUUAGUCACAUUUUACCCCUGUAAAGAACUUCUGCCCAAAUUUCGUGUUCAGUCUUAGCAGGAGGAGACAUAAGGUUCACACAAUAGAGAUCAUUUGUUGCUUAGCAACUGGGUGGGACUCAAACCACCUCCAGCAGUUUCUCAGAACUAGGGAGAGAGUAGAACUUAUACACCAAAAACUACAAAUCUGCAAAUAAGAUAAAUGGAAAGCUGGCAGGCUGAGGAUUUCCUUGAUUCUUAGGUAAAACAUCUCUCUAUCUUCCUGUUAUAAACUGAGAAGUUAUUGUGACAGUGGAAAUCACAUCUUUAGAAUUGUAUUUAAAAAGGUUUACUCAGCUGAUUUUAACAUUUGGAUGUUAAUUUACAUUCCUGUCUGAUAUUAUUUCUUUUCCUUGGUCAAGUUUAGUGAAUUCAUUAUUUUUUCCUUUUUUUUUUCUUCUGUGUUUAUGACAGAGUUGCAACUUUGAGUUGCAUUUCAUGUACUGUUUAAGCAAUUGUUAAUAUUCUAUUUAUAACAUAGCAGCAAGUACAUUUUUUUUCAGAUUUUAAUAUAUAUCUUCUGUCGUGGAUUCGUACAGUAUGUACAGAGCAGUUUGGUCAAACAAAACGUAUUAUAUGUUUUUAAAUGUUUUAUAACUGCUGAUAUAGCAUACAGCCUCAUUGCUUUUCUAAAAACACUACUCAGGCACACACUAUGCUGUGAAGUUUGACUUAUCUCUCUUGGCACUGAUGUUAUGUCAACAGUUAUACUACAUGAAUUUCAGAUUAUUUUUAAAAUAACCUAACAAGAUGCAAAAUGUGUGUGUUUACUUUAUACCAAUAAAAGAGCAGAUUGCUAAAUUA
Molecule: long non-coding RNA, 1681 nt
Organism: Pipra filicauda (Wire-tailed manakin)
Lineage: Eukaryota; Metazoa; Chordata; Aves; Passeriformes; Pipridae
Exons: 2
Source: RefSeq, a predicted model, not a curated record